GGCCGCGGUUGCGGGUCUGUCCUCCGCAGCCGGUUCGCCUGGUUGCCCGGCCCGCACCGUUACGUAGCAACGCCUCUGUCGGGUAGGGCUUCCGCGCCACGCCCUUCGGUCCGGCUCUUCCCUCGGCUUCCCUCCGGUGCGGGGCUUUUCCUUGACUCCAGGAUAGUCAUCGCCAAGAACAAAGCCCCCACCAGAUGAGACCCCUAGACUGUUGACUUCCCAGCCUCCAGAACUAAACCACCAUAAAGGCUCUUGCCAACACUUUCCUUUCGCUCCUGACAAACCCUGGAGCUUCCCUGUGUGGCCCCUGCAUGGAACAGUGUGCCCUCUCAUCUUAGGAACUCACUAGCCACCAUUUAUUGAGGAUAACCGUGCCUGGCGCCAGGCCCUGGCUGUCUGGUGGAGUCCACGCAGCAAUCUGAGGAGGGGGAUGCCCUACAGUACAGCUAAGAGAGAGCCCGCUCCAGAGACGGAGUCGGGAUUUGUACCGAGCAGCGAGUCCGGCGCCCGCGCGGUCAACGACAGGGACCGGGAAGCGACAAGAACGGAGCUGGGGCCGGGAGCCCGCCCGCCGCCGAGUCCGCGCCUCCGCGCAGCCGCUCAGAUUUGAUCUUUUUACAGCCAGGCAUUCUCCUGAAUAUUAUAGUAGAAGCGCUGCGAUUUGAAUUUAAGGAGGUUAUCUGGAUAAUAUUUUGAUUUAAGCGUAACCGAUUUCCAUGAAUGCUUCUACUAGUAUUUUGGGAAUGGGAAAAGUGAAUA
Cynocephalus volans (Philippine flying lemur) is the source of this 759-nucleotide long non-coding RNA. RefSeq lists it as uncharacterized. The record is from RefSeq and is a predicted model, not a curated record. The transcript has 4 exons. Lineage: Eukaryota; Metazoa; Chordata; Mammalia; Dermoptera; Cynocephalidae.